AGUGAACGCUGGCGGUAGGCCUAACACAUGCAAGUCGAACGGCAGCACAGUAAGAGCUUGCUCUUACGGGUGGCGAGUGGCGGACGGGUGAGGAAUACAUCGGAAUCUACUUUUUCGUGGGGGAUAACGUAGGGAAACUUACGCUAAUACCGCAUCCGACCUACGGGUGAAAGCAGUGGAUCUUCGGACCUUGCGCGAUUGGAUGCGCCGCUGUCGGAUUAGCUAGUUGGCGGGGUAAAGGCCCACCACGGCGACGAUCCGUAGCUGGUCUGAGUGAAUGAUCAGCGACCGUGGAAGUGGACCAGGGACCAGAGUCCUACGGAAGGCACCAGUCGGCAAUAUUGGGCAGUAGGAGCAAGCAUGACACAACCAUACCACGCGGGUGGAAAAGACCUCCGGGUUGUAAAGCCCUCUUGUUGGGAAAAAAAAGCAGCAGGUUAAUACCACGCUGUUCUGACGGUACCCAAAAAAUAAGCACCGGCUAACUACGUG
RNAcentral lists this ribosomal RNA (492 nucleotides) under uncultured bacterium. RNAcentral describes it as "partial 16S ribosomal RNA". It matches the Rfam family "Bacterial small subunit ribosomal RNA", at positions 29 to 507 of the family's 1533-position model. The record is from RNAcentral.